Molecule: ribosomal RNA, 425 nt
Filed under: uncultured bacterium
Lineage: Bacteria
Description: bacterial SSU rRNA
Rfam family: Bacterial small subunit ribosomal RNA
Source: RNAcentral
GUAGGUGGCGAGCGUUAUCCGGAAUUAUUGGGCGUAAAGAGGGAGCAGGCGGCACUAAGGGUCUGUGGUGAAAGAUCGAAGCUUAACUUCGGUAAGCCAUGGAAACCGUAGAGCUAGAGUGUGUGAGAGGAUCGUGGAAUUCCAUGUGUAGCGGUGAAAUGCGUAGAUAUAUGGAGGAACACCAGUGGCGAAGGCGACGAUCUGGCGCAUAACUGACGCUCAGUCCCGAAAGCGUGGGGAGCAAAUAGGAUUAGAUACCCUAGUAGUCCACGCCGUAAACGAUGAGUACUAAGUGUUGGGUGUCAAAGCUCAGUGCUGCAGUUAACGCAAUAAGUACUCCGCCUGAGUAGUACGUUCGCAAGAAUGAAACUCAAAGGAAUUGACGGUAGCAGCCGCGGUAAUACCAAACUCAAAGGAAUUGACGA